GACGGAGGAUGCAAGUGUUAUCCGGAAUCACUGGGCGUAAAGCGUCUGUAGGUGGUUUAGUAAGUCUAUUGUUAAAUCUUGAGGCUCAACUUCAAAUCAGCGAUGGAAACUGCUAGACUAGAGUGUGGUAGAGGUAAGAGGAAUUUCCAGUGGAGCGGUGAAAUGCGUAGAUAUUGGAAAGAACACCGAUGGCGAAGGCAUCUUACUGGGCCAUAACUGACACUCAGAGACGAAAGCUAGGGUAGCAAAUGGGAUUAGAUACCCCAGUAGUCCUAGCAGUAAACGAUGGAUACUAGAUGUUGUGCAUAAGCAGUAUCGCAGCUAACGCGUUAAGUAUCCCGCCUGGGGAGUACGCUCGCAAGGGUG
RNAcentral lists this ribosomal RNA (366 nucleotides) under uncultured phototrophic eukaryote. Its description in RNAcentral is "SSU rRNA". It matches the Rfam family "Bacterial small subunit ribosomal RNA", at positions 524 to 896 of the family's 1533-position model. The record is from RNAcentral.